Molecule: ribosomal RNA, 270 nt
Filed under: uncultured bacterium
Lineage: Bacteria
Description: partial 16S ribosomal RNA
Rfam family: Bacterial small subunit ribosomal RNA
Source: RNAcentral
GUGUUACAAUGGCAGGUACAGAGGGGUGCUACCGGGUGACCGGAUGCCGAUCUCGAAAACCUGUCCCAGUUCGGACUGGAGUCUGCAACCCGACUCCACGAAGUUGGAUUCGCUAGUAAUCGCGCAUCAGCCAUGGCGCGGUGAAUACGUUCCCGGGCCUUGUACACACCGCCCGUCAAGCCAUGGGAGCCGGGGGCGCCUGAAGUCCGGGACCGCGAGGACCGGCCUAAGGCGAAACUGGUGACUGGGGCUAAGUCGUAACAAGGUAAC